UACGUAGGGGGCAAGCGUUGUCCGGAUUUAUUGGGCGUAAAGAGCGUGUAGGCGGUCAGGUAGGUCCGUUGUGAAAACUCGAGGCUCAACCUCGAGACGCCGAUGGAAACCAUCUGACUAGAGUCCGGAAGAGGAGAGUGGAAUUCCUGGUGUAGCGGUGAAAUGCGCAGAUAUCAGGAGGAACACCGGUGGCGAAGGCGGCAUCCUGGACCAAUUCUGACGCUGAGGAGCGAAAGCCAGGGGAGCAAACGGG
Molecule: ribosomal RNA, 253 nt
Filed under: uncultured bacterium
Lineage: Bacteria
Description: partial 16S ribosomal RNA
Rfam family: Bacterial small subunit ribosomal RNA
Source: RNAcentral